UUACACCAUUAAACAGCACCCUACUUUACACCAUUAAACAGCACCCUACUUUACAGCAUUAAACAGAGAGCUACUUUACACCAUUAAACAGAGGGCUACUUUGCGAACAAAGAGUUGCAGAGAAGACUAGGUGAAUGUCAGUCAAGGACUGUUGACUGUUGACAAAGUAAUUAAUGACCGGACAUGGGGCAGUGGGUAGGCAUACAACAGCUUUUAAUUGAGCGUCCGUACAUUUUUUUGGGAAUUGAACAGAUUUAUGCAACAACAUGCAUCUUCUGUUGGUACAUCAUCAUCAUUUGCUUACACCAGAUUGCACACAAAAUCAUAAACACAUACUGAAACCUAGAUUAACAGCUUUUGUCAUGAACUCAAACUUAAAAAAAAAAAAUAAUAAUAAUUAAAACCUUCACCCUUCAUCUUAGUCAAUUACACACACACAAAUACACACACACAAACAAUACAAAGUGGUUUGUUUUGUUUGUCUUAUUACAAAGGAUCCCUUGUAUUAGAACUUACAUUUUAUAAAAAAGAGAAAAAAAAGAAAAGAAAAAAAAGGUCAAAUCAGUAUAAAAGGCACAAAGGCAACGAAUAUAUGUAAGAAUACAAGGCAGUUGUACGGUUACACCCCAGUAAUGUUUGAAAGAGCACUUUUCUCACACAUGCACAAACAUACAGGACCCCUUUACACAUACUCUACUCAAGUCACACACCACCAUGAUGUCCUUUCAGUCCACUCUGUGUGUGUGUGUGUGUGUGUGUGUGUGUGUGUGUGUGUGCUCAAUAGCCUUCUCCCAUUACUCACUCUUACACCCCUGCAGUGCACCUCACUAUCAAGUGAAAUCAGCAACAGAGUGACAGCAAGCAUAGGAACUACGAUAUACGAUAUGGCUGAAAGUUUUGACAGGGCUCUUUUGGACAAAGAUUAAGCUGUCCCCCAGAUAAGAAGUACAUAGGGUAGUAUGUAAGCCAUUCUAGUAUAGUAGAGUUGCAGUAGAGAAAGCAAGUAGAUGCAAUAACUAAACUCUUUGGUAUAGUCUCAUGCAUGCCACUCAUAUGCAUUGUUGGUACUGGGUCACAAUGGGAUUCCACUUGACAACAUGAAAAACCAAGUCUAUGUCGGACUAAAUACUAUAUGACAAAGAACCUACUGCCUACAUGUUAGUAAAACUGUACUGUUUAAGCAUUUUAGUACAUAGUGGCAUUACAUAUGUUAUGCUAUGGAACACACCUGCUAAAUCCUACAACACUGAAUUCCAACAUUGCCAGUAUGAAUUUUUUUUUUUUUUACUUUACUCAAGAACAAUGAUGCUAUUCAACGUGGUGAAUUCAGACAGAGUGCAGGUAUAAAAGAUCGGAUCACUCAAACCACAUUUGGUGGCACACAGGAACACAUUUUACCCAUUUUCAUCAAAAGUGCAUACAUGUACAUAUAUAUCUCUCAUUUACUGGAUGGUUCAACUGUCACACUUGGUCUUGAGCACGAGAACAGAAAACUAUUCAACAUUCAUUUAGACACAUUUCUCUAAUUCCAGGCCUGAAUCAUUCUCGUGUACAGAUAAGAAGUACUAAAACUGAAGCAAGUGCAUGAGAGAUUUACCCCACCCAUCAUUCAGACUGUCAACUGACUCCUUCCCUUCUCUGAUGAAGGGUCUGGUGAAUUGGCCCUGUUCAGAUCUCUAUAAGGCCACUCUAGUCUCAUUUACUGUAAGUGCAAUGCAGCUAAAACCUAUUUUGAUAUUAUGAAGACAACACAUGGUAAUAGCGGGUGUGGGGGGCCUUCUUCACACACAUUCUGAGAAAUCUCCCCACAACAACAAAAACAACAAAAAUCCGAUAGAAUGGACAAGCUAAAAGCUUCCCAAGCUUUACAAUACUAAAAGCUGACGAGAGCCACGGCAGUCUGCCGUUUUCCAGUGGUCGGUUAGUAAAUUAACCAUCUGCGUAAGGAGGAAAUUGUCAAAUGAAUCUCUUCGUAGUUUUGAAGAAAUCCAGUGACAGAAGAUGAAAAAUCCAAACUCAUUAAAAAACUCAAAUCAGUUCUUUGGAUGGCUUUCACAACUGCAGAUGAAGCAAAAAGAGGAAGGACAUGAUGACACAGUAAAGAAAAGCACACUAAAAUCUGUACCCAUGAGGAAUUACAUUUUGCGGUAGUCAAUCAUCUUAAAUAACAAAUAGAUUGUUGUAGGUGUUAUUAAAACAGAACACAUAUCAUCAUUGCUAUCAUUAUAAAUACACACAACGGACACCAGAAAUGCUGAAAAAACAAGAUGGGUUUGUCAUUGUCAUUAACACCCCAUUUUCUAAGCAAUCAUUGUAUGCAACCAGCUUCUCCGAUGCCAGGCUUCAAGUGUGACGCGGGAAACAGUGUGGCCAUAGCUUAGUAAAUCACUGUGAAAUGUAGCUAUCAUGGGCCAGAUUUCAGAAUGGAUUCACUUUUUUAAACAUGUGGACCCAGGUGAAAUCCACAGUCUGUCUGUCAAGGUGCCGUUGCGUACUGGAAAACCAUUUUAAAGGAAUGUUGGGACAUCCCUAGAGCAUCCACUGAGUAUCUAUGAUUGAUUGUUCAAGAGCAGAGGAGACUCAUUGUGAAAAAGUUAAGAAAGGCUUACCUCAAACUGUUGAUUUGUCCACCAAUCUUCACCAUUCAUUCACCCGAUUUACCAUUUGGAGCGUCCGUGACUGUAAGACGCAGACAGAAAAAAACCCACAAACGAACAAAAGAAAAUCAACCAGACAUUACAGAUAUUGAAAAAGCAUUUGCAGUGAGCAUGUAAGAGAAGAAAUGUACUAGCUCUACUCCUGAAGGUACGAGGAAACAUCAAUGUCAAUGGGCUGUGUGUUUGCAUUUCAGUUUGUUUUGUGAGUACAGUCCACUUGUCAUAACAGAAAGAACUAAAACCACAAGCAUAUGAUGGGAAACUGGUAGUAAGUUUGAACAAUAGUCUAAGUAUACUCAAAGUAUGAUACUCAGUUAGUGUGAAUGGGACCCAAUGUCACUACAAAACGUAUGUUCUCAUCAACAUACCUCUGUUGCAGCCUG
Clupea harengus (Atlantic herring) is the source of this 3040-nucleotide long non-coding RNA. The record is from Ensembl. NCBI's taxonomy places the organism in Eukaryota, Metazoa, Chordata, Actinopteri, Clupeiformes, Clupeidae.